GUAUAUGAGGUGAUUAAUUGGAGGGCAAAUCAAGUGCCAGCAGCCGCGGUAAUACUUGUUCCAAGAGUGUGUAUGAUGAUUGAUGCAGUUAAAAAGUCCGUAGUUUAUUUUUUUAAGAAGCAAUAUGGGGUGUACUGUAUAGUUGGGAGAAAGAUGAAAUGCGACGACCCUGACUGGACGAACAGAAGCGAAAGCUGUACACUUGUAUGUAUUUUUUGAACAAGGACGUAAGCUGGAGGAGCGAAGAUGAUUAGAUACCAUUGUAGUUCCAGCAGUAAACUAUGCCGACGAUGUGAUAUGAAAAUGUUAAUUUGUAUUACAUAAUAGAAAUUUGAGUUUUUUGGCUCUGGGGAUAGUAUGAUCGCAAGAUUGAAAAUUAAAGAAAUUGACGGAAGAAUACCACAAGGAGUGGAUUGUGCGGCUUAAUUUGACUCAACGCGAGGUAACUUACCAAUAUUUUAUUAUUUUGAGAGAACGGUUUUUGUUUGAGAAUGAUAAUAGUGGUGCAUGGCCGUUUUCAAUGGAUGCUGUGAAGUUUUGAUUAAUUUCAACAAGACGUGAGACCCUUAUUAUUUAUUAAAGACAGACACAAUCAGUGUAGGAAGGAAAGGAUUAAAACAGGUCCGUUAUGCCCUCUGACAUUUUGGGCUGCACGCGCAAUACAAUAGAUAUA
RNAcentral lists this ribosomal RNA (673 nucleotides) under Vairimorpha ceranae. Its description in RNAcentral is "SSU rRNA". It matches the Rfam family "Microsporidia small subunit ribosomal RNA", at positions 357 to 1067 of the family's 1311-position model. The record is from RNAcentral. Lineage: Eukaryota; Fungi; Microsporidia; Nosematidae.